CCCUCCAAUUGAAUAGCCAUUCUUUAAAUUCAACUAUCUGACUAACUGAAUACCCUUGACUGUUUUAUUGUCUAGUCCACAUCUCCCCAUCUUGUCUAUAAGACUAGUAUGACAUGUUUUAUUAAAAGUAAAUCAAUAGGAAUCUUUCCCUCUACUAGUUCACUAAUAUUGUGAAAAAAAGAAAUGAGAUUCGUAUGGAACCUCCUCCCCCCAUUCUUGAUGAUGCCAUAUUGACUAUUACUCAAGUUUUUAUGGAAGAGAGCCGUUCACUCACGAGGAUGGAAACAGACCCUGGAAUCUCCAUUUGGGAGUGUUUUGAAGAGAUGGAAGAAUGACUUGGAGUAAUGCAGCUCUAUUCCCCCUGCACAGAGCGAGUGCCAACUCGGCUGUCUCCAUU
Molecule: long non-coding RNA, 397 nt
Filed under: Monodelphis domestica (gray short-tailed opossum)
Lineage: Eukaryota; Metazoa; Chordata; Mammalia; Didelphimorphia; Didelphidae
Description: lncRNA (ENSMODG00000033877.2)
Source: RNAcentral